RNAcentral lists this ribosomal RNA (958 nucleotides) under Vibrio sp. t14_2a. RNAcentral's name for it is "bacterial SSU rRNA". It matches the Rfam family "Bacterial small subunit ribosomal RNA", at positions 507 to 1462 of the family's 1533-position model. The record is from RNAcentral. Lineage: Bacteria; Pseudomonadati; Pseudomonadota; Gammaproteobacteria; Vibrionales; Vibrionaceae.
GCCAGCAGCCGCGGUAAUACGGAGGGUGCGAGCGUUAAUUGGAAUUACUGGGCGUAAAGCGCAUGCAGGUGGUUUGUUAAGUCAGAUGUGAAAGCCCGGGGCUCAACCUCGGAAUUGCAUUUGAAACUGGCAGACUAGAGUACUGUAGAGGGGGGUAGAAUUUCAGGUGUAGCGGUGAAAUGCGUAGAGAUCUGAAGGAAUACCGGUGGCGAAGGCGGCCCCCUGGACAGAUACUGACACUCAGAUGCGAAAGCGUGGGGAGCAAACAGGAUUAGAUACCCUGGUAGUCCACGCCGUAAACGAUGUCUACUUGGAGGUUGUGGCCUUGAGCCGUGGCUUUCGGAGCUAACGCGUUAAGUAGACCGCCUGGGGAGUACGGUCGCAAGAUUAAAACUCAAAUGAAUUGACGGGGGCCCGCACAAGCGGUGGAGCAUGUGGUUUAAUUCGAUGCAACGCGAAGAACCUUACCUACUCUUGACAUCCAGAGAAGCCAGCAGAGAUGCAGGUGUGCCUUCGGGAACUCUGAGACAGGUGCUGCAUGGCUGUCGUCAGCUCGUGUUGUGAAAUGUUGGGUUAAGUCCCGCAACGAGCGCAACCCUUAUCCUUGUUUGCCAGCGAGUAAUGUCGGGAACUCCAGGGAGACUGCCGGUGAUAAACCGGAGGAAGGUGGGGACGACGUCAAGUCAUCAUGGCCCUUACGAGUAGGGCUACACACGUGCUACAAUGGCGCAUACAGAGGGCAGCCAACUUGCGAAAGUGAGCGAAUCCCAAAAAGUGCGUCGUAGUCCGGAUUGGAGUCUGCAACUCGACUCCAUGAAGUCGGAAUCGCUAGUAAUCGUGGAUCAGAAUGCCACGGUGAAUACGUUCCCGGGCCUUGUACACACCGCCCGUCACACCAUGGGAGUGGGCUGCAAAAGAAGUAGGUAGUUUAACCUUUCGGGGGAGGACGCUACCACUU